GAUGAACGCUGGCGGCGUGCUUAACACAUGCAAGUCGAACGAAGCAUUUGCGACAGAUUUUUUCGGAAUGAAGUUGCUUAUGACUGAGUGGCGGACGGGUGAGUAACGCGUGGGUAACCUGCCUUGUACUGGGGGAUAGCAGCUGGAAACGGCUGGUAAUACCGCAUAAGCGCACAAUGUUGCAUGACAUGGUGUGAAAAACUCCGGUGGUAUAAGAUGGACCCGCGUCUGAUUAGCUAGUGGGUGAGAUAACAGCCCACCAAGGCGACGAUCAGUAGCCGACCUGAGAGGGUGACCGGCCACAUUGGGACUGAGACACGGCCCAGACUCCUACGGGAGGCAGCAGUGGGGAAUAUUGCACAAUGGAGGAAACUCUGAUGCAGCGACGCCGCGUGAGUGAAGAAGUAAUUCGUUAUGUACAGCUCUAUCAGCAGGGAAGAUAGUGACGGUACCUGACUAAGAAGCUCCGGCUAAAUACGUG
This 481-nucleotide ribosomal RNA is filed under the name uncultured bacterium. RNAcentral describes it as "partial 16S ribosomal RNA". It matches the Rfam family "Bacterial small subunit ribosomal RNA", at positions 28 to 507 of the family's 1533-position model. The record is from RNAcentral.